Rhopalosiphum maidis (corn leaf aphid) is the source of this 353-nucleotide long non-coding RNA. RefSeq lists it as uncharacterized. The transcript is spliced from 3 exons. The record is from RefSeq and is a predicted model, not a curated record. NCBI's taxonomy places the organism in Eukaryota, Metazoa, Arthropoda, Insecta, Hemiptera, Aphididae.
UGAAUUAACAUUUUUAGCGCUUGGAAUAGUUUCAACAUCCUAUGUUUAAUAUGGAUUAGAAGAUUGCAGUACAGCAGAUCUUUCAAGCCAUGAUGAAACAUGAAUUAUCGUUUUUAGCACUUGGGAAAAUUUGGACAUCCCAUGUUGAAAUUUGACUAGACAAUACUGAUAAUAAUAAUAAUAAUAAUGGUAUUUUGCAUGUAUAGCAGAUCUUUCAAGGCUCGCUGAAACCUGAAUUAACAUUUUUACCACAUUGAAAAGUUUCAACAUCCUACAUUUAUAUUGGACUAGAAGAUUCCGAUAAAUCUAAUAAUUUUAUGCAAUUCACUUUUAUUAUUUUAUGGUUAAAUUCA